GUUGACCUCGGAUCAAUAACAUUCC
This 25-nucleotide ribosomal RNA is filed under the name Ragnhildiana ampelopsidis. RNAcentral describes it as "partial 28S ribosomal RNA". The record is from RNAcentral. Lineage: Eukaryota; Fungi; Ascomycota; Dothideomycetes; Mycosphaerellales; Mycosphaerellaceae.